Molecule: ribosomal RNA, 586 nt
Filed under: uncultured bacterium
Lineage: Bacteria
Description: bacterial SSU rRNA
Rfam family: Bacterial small subunit ribosomal RNA
Source: RNAcentral
GAUGGACCCGCGGUGCAUUAGCUAGUUGGUGAGGUAACGGCUCACCAAGGCAACGAUGCAUAGCCGACCUGAGAGGGUGAUCGGCCACACUGGGACUGAGACACGGCCCAGACUCCUACGGGAGGCAGCAGUAGGGAAUCUUCGGCAAUGGACGAAAGUCUGACCGAGCAACGCCGCGUGAGUGAAGAAGGUUUUCGGAUCGUAAAACUCUGUUGUCAGAGAAGAACAAGGAUGAGAGUAAAACGUUCAUCCCUUGACGGUAUCUAACCAGAAAGCCACGGCUAACUACGUGCCAGCAGCCGCGGUAAUACGUAGGUGGCAAGCGUUGUCCGGAUUUAUUGGGCGUAAAGCGAGCGCAGGCGGUUUCUUAAGUCUGAUGUGAAAGCCCCCGGCUCAACCGGGGAGGGUCAUUGGAAACUGGGAGACUUGAGUGCAGAAGAGGAGAGUGGAAUUCCAUGUGUAGCGGUGAAAUGCGUAGAUAUAUGGAGGAACACCAGUGGCGAAGGCGGCUCUCUGGUCUGUAACUGACGCUGAGGCUCGAAAGCGUGGGGAGCGAACAGGAUUAGAUACCCUGGUAGUCCACGCC